UACGUAGGUGGCGAGCGUUGUCCGGAUUUACUGGGCGUAAAGAGCGCGCAGGCGGUCGGCCAAGUCGAGUGUGAAAGCCCCCGGCUCAACUGGGGAGGGUCAUUCGAUACUGGUCGACUCGAAGGCGGGAGAGGGAAGCGGAAUUCCCGGUGUAGUGGUGAAAUGCGUAGAUAUCGGGAGGAACACCAGUGGCGAAGGCGGCUUCCUGGCCCGUUCUUGACGCUGAGGCGCGAAAGCUAGGGGAGCGAACGGG
Molecule: ribosomal RNA, 253 nt
Filed under: uncultured prokaryote
Description: partial 16S ribosomal RNA
Rfam family: Bacterial small subunit ribosomal RNA
Source: RNAcentral